CCAAUAGCGUAUAUUAAGGUUGCUGCGGUUAAAAAGCUCGUAGUUGAAUUUCGGAAUUGAUGCAUCGGUCGUGCCUUAAGGGGCAUGAACUGGUGUAGCCAAUUUCUCACCUUCUGGUGAAUUGUGAUGUUCUUAAUGGGUGUCUCAAUGAACUAGAAUUUUUUACUUUGAAAAAAUUAGAGUGUUUAAAGCAGGCAUUAAUUUGCUUGAAUACAUUAGCAUGGAAUAAUGAAAUAGGACAGUGGUUCCGUUUUGUUGGUUUCUAGGAUCACGUAAUGAUUAAUAGGGACAGUUGGGGGCAUUAGUAUUCAAUUGUCAGAGGUGAAAUUCUUGGAUUUAUUGAAGACUAACUAUUGCGAAAGCAUUUGCCAAGGAUGUUUUCAUUAAUCAAGAACGAAAGUUAGGGGAUCAAAGACGAUUAAGUACGUCGUAGUCCUAACCAUAAACUAUACCGACUAGGAAUCAGACGAUGUUAAUUUUUUAAUGACUCGUUUGGUACCUUACG
Molecule: unclassified non-coding RNA, 505 nt
Filed under: uncultured Glomeromycotina
Lineage: Eukaryota; Fungi; Glomeromycota
Description: bacterial SSU rRNA
Rfam family: Eukaryotic small subunit ribosomal RNA
Source: RNAcentral